UACGGAAGGCAGCAGUGGGGAAUAUUGCACAAUGGGCGCAAGCCUGAUGCAGCCAUGCCGCGUGUAUGAAGAAGGCCUUCGGGUUGUAAAGUACUUUCAGUCGUGAGGAAGGUGUUAAGGUUAAUAACCUUAGCAAUUGACGUUAGCGACAGAAGAAGCACCGGCUAACUCCGUGCCAGCAGCCGCGGUAAUACGGAGGGUGCGAGCGUUAAUCGGAAUUACUGGGCGUUAAAGGGCACGCAGGCGGUUAAUUAAGUUGGAUGUGAAAUCCCCGGGCUUAACCUGGGAAUGGCAUUCAAGACUGGUUAGCUAGAGUCUUGUAGAGGGGGUAGAAUUCCAUGUGUAGCGGUGAAAUGCGUAGAGAUGUGGAGGAAUCCGGUGGCGAAGGCGGCCCCUGGCAAAGGACUGACGCUCAUGUGCGAAAGCGUGGGGAGCAAACAGGGAUUAGAUACC
Molecule: ribosomal RNA, 453 nt
Filed under: uncultured bacterium
Lineage: Bacteria
Description: bacterial SSU rRNA
Rfam family: Bacterial small subunit ribosomal RNA
Source: RNAcentral